CCCGGGCUGGUUUUGCCGCUGCUGUCAGUAAGGGUGCUUCGCAGCUUGCGAAUAAAAAAUUCCGUUUAUCUCCGGUAACCGGAGCACGGGUGGCUCACAAGGCGUAGGUUCUCUAGCUCGUGUAGUGGCACCCGGCUACGGGGUACGCGUACAACUCGCGUGCUCUGUGCCUUGUGCUGCCCACGAAACCCCAGGUAGGGUGCGGUGACGGGAGCGCCCGCGUCGUGUUCCGCUUUUAUUUUACAAACCCAGUUGGCUUACGGGAGUACUAUCCAUGCGUUGUGUCCUUUGGUUGAAGCCGCUUCGGUUCGUGCUUGAACCCGGUGCUGACUUAUCAGCACGUCCCGUGUAGCAGUGACGGACUCGUCCCUAGGUUGAACGGGUAUGUGCGGUUC
RNAcentral lists this unclassified non-coding RNA (395 nucleotides) under Proboscidea fragrans. Its description in RNAcentral is "partial external transcribed spacer". Lineage: Eukaryota; Viridiplantae; Streptophyta; Magnoliopsida; Lamiales; Martyniaceae. The record is from RNAcentral.